GUAGUCUCGCACAGAUGCAUAUCAAUAAGCGGAGGAAAAGAAACUAACUAGGAUUCCCUCAGUAACGGCGAGUGAAGCGGGAAGAGCUCGAAAUUUGAAAUCUUCAAGGUUCUACCUUGACGAAUUGUAGUUUAAAGAAGUGUUUUCUGUUGGAGGUUUUGGUAAAAGUUCUUUGGAAUAGGACAUCAUAGAGGGUGAGAAUCCCGUAUUUGACCAUUUACUUUCCAGCUUUGUGAUACACUUUCAAAGAGUCGGAUUGUUUGGGAAUGCAGUCCGAAAUGGGUGGUAAAUUUCAUCUAAAGCUAAAUAUUGGCGAGAGACCGAUAGCGAACAAGUACCGUGAGGGAAAGAUGAAAAGAACUUUGAAAAGAGAGUUAAACAGUACGUGAAAUUGUCAAAAGGGAAGCGUUUGACACCAGUGUUGUUUUUCUGAAAAUCAAUUAAAGAACUGUUUAUGCUAAGCUGUUUAGACUUUAUCAGCUAUCUGUUUAGUUUUGAGCUUUUCUUUAAUGCACUUUUCAGUUAACAAGUCAACAUCAAUUUCUUUUGCUGUAAAAAAGCUUGAGGAAGGUGGCUUGAGAUUCGUCUUAAGUGUUUAUAGCCUCUUGCCUAUGCAGUCGGAGAGAUUGAGGUCUGCAGCGUAGAUCCUUCGGGGCUAAAUGCAUUUGUGCUAAGUUAUAGCAUUUUAUAGACAACUUGUUGACUAUGAUUAGUCAUUGUAGCUUACUCGCUUAUGUUAUUUUACCUACGCUUAGGAUGUUGAAGUCAUCGUAUCGCGC
RNAcentral lists this ribosomal RNA (779 nucleotides) under uncultured Neocallimastigales. RNAcentral describes it as "partial large subunit ribosomal RNA". It matches the Rfam family "Eukaryotic large subunit ribosomal RNA", at positions 24 to 645 of the family's 3401-position model. Lineage: Eukaryota; Fungi; Neocallimastigomycota; Neocallimastigomycetes; Neocallimastigales. The record is from RNAcentral.